AUUGAACGCUGGCGGCAGGCCUAACACAUGCAAGUCGAGCGGAUGAGGGGAGCUUGCUCCUGGAUUCAGCGGCGGACGGGUGAGUAAUGCCUAGGAAUCUGCCUGGUAGUGGGGGAUAACGUCCGGAAACGGGCGCUAAUACCGCAUACGUCCUGAGGGAGAAAGUGGGGGAUCUUCGGACCUCACGCUAUCAGAUGAGCCUAGGUCGGAUUAGCUAGUUGGUGGGGUAAAGGCCUACCAAGGCGACGAUCCGUAACUGGUCUGAGAGGAUGAUCAGUCACACUGGAACUGAGACACGGUCCAGACUCCUACGGGAGGCAGCAGUGGGGAAUAUUGGACAAUGGGCGAAAGCCUGAUCCAGCCAUGCCGCGUGUGUGAAGAAGGUCUUCGGAUUGUAAAGCACUUUAAGUUGGGAGGAAGGGCAGUAAGUUAAUACCUUGCUGUUUUGACGAUACCAACAGAAUAAGCACCGGCUAACUUCGUG
Molecule: ribosomal RNA, 484 nt
Filed under: uncultured bacterium
Lineage: Bacteria
Description: partial 16S ribosomal RNA
Rfam family: Bacterial small subunit ribosomal RNA
Source: RNAcentral